UACGUAGGGUGCAAGCGUUGUCCGGAAUUAUUGGGCGUAAAGAGCUCGUAGGCGGUCUGUCGCGUCUGCUGUGAAAACCUAGGGCUUAACCCUGGGCCUGCAGUGGGUACGGGCAGACUAGAGUGCGGUAGGGGAGACUGGAAUUCCUGGUGUAGCGGUGAAAUGCGCAGAUAUCAGGAGGAACACCAAUGGCGAAGGCAGCUCGCUGGAACGGUACUGACGCUGAGGCGCGAAAGCGUGGGGAGCAAACAGG
This 253-nucleotide ribosomal RNA is filed under the name uncultured bacterium. Its description in RNAcentral is "partial 16S ribosomal RNA". It matches the Rfam family "Bacterial small subunit ribosomal RNA", at positions 524 to 776 of the family's 1533-position model. The record is from RNAcentral.